GCAAGUCGAGGGGUAACGAUUAGAAAGCUUGCUUUCUAAGGCGACGACCGGCGCACGGGUGAGUAACGCGUAUGCAACCUACCUUUAACUGGGGAAUAGCCCGAAGAAAUUCGGAUUAAUGCCCCAUAAUAUUUAUCUAAUGCAUAUUAGAUUUUUUAAAGCUCCUGCGGUUAAAGAUGGGCAUGCGUGACAUUAGUUAGUUGGUAAGGUAACGGCUUACCAAGACUACGAUGUCUAGGGGGCCUGAGAGGGUAGUC
This 257-nucleotide ribosomal RNA is filed under the name uncultured bacterium. Its description in RNAcentral is "partial 16S ribosomal RNA". It matches the Rfam family "Bacterial small subunit ribosomal RNA", at positions 57 to 305 of the family's 1533-position model. The record is from RNAcentral.